CGGGUUUUUUCCAAAAAUAAGUUCGAUACAGUGGGCCAAAUCUGGUCGAACAAGUUGGUUUAUUUUUGAUUAGGGUUGGGUUUUUUAAAUGUAUUUUUGCUCAAAUCACACCAUAACAAAAGUUCUAAAAUCAACUGUAACACAACAUUGCUGCUUUGGUAGAAAUUUUCAUGGAUUAUGAUAGAAAUCCAUGAAAAUUUCAAAACCACGCCACAAGGAGUUCGAGGGAAAGAAAUGAUCGACUACAUUCCGAGCAUACCUCGGAAGCGUAACACCUACUGCAGAGGUGUCUAAAACUUAAUACAUAAAUACAUAAUACAUAAACACAUCAUAAUAAACUCAAAGCCAACGAAUCUUGGCAAAAAUAUCUUUACGCCAACGAAUUAUGGCAAAGAUUUAACUAAAACUAAAGACGAAACUCAACGCCAACAUAUCUUGGCAGAUGAUGUCGAUCUAUACCAGCAGACCUGGCAAAAAUUUCCUCGAAUCCUGAACCAAACGUCUGAAAAACUUUCACCCAAGCAGCAAAACAAGCAUUUAAAAUCAUGUAGAGGAUAAUAGUUAUCCGGCAAAUGAGCCAUCCUGCAAAUGUACUAAAAGUGUCUAGAACAGUGCGCAGCCAAUUUAGUACAAGCCCAUCGAAUGUUUUUAUGCGUGUUGUUUUGCUUUCUUAUUCGUAUCAGUGGAAUCCAUAGAAUCCGUAAAAUCUGUUUUCAACUCUUAAAUCAGCAGAAAAGUCGACUUUGUUAGGUACGGUACGGUUCGGUACGCGAUUAAAAACUUGUCUUUUCCGUAAAACUAGCGCGAUUGCCUCUUAAAAUUUAAUUUUUUAAAGCAAUUCUAGUCGUUCGUAACAUUGCUGGUUCAAAAAAGUUUGCGCAUUUCAGCCGGAAGAACGGCUAUUGAAGGACCAUCAGCUGUGCCAAGACUCGAAGCGAAAAAUCGAAACCAAAGUGAGAAAGAACUUUAACAAACAUUGGUACGUAUUUUGGCGAGGAAUUGAUUGAUAAGGCUGCCGCUUAAAAAUUGCAACGGAGCUGAAAUAACAACUGGCCGAAAUCCAAGAAAAUGUAGAGACCAACACGUUGGUCCACAGAGAAGUUGACCGAAGAAAUGGAUGCUCUCAGGAAUGAAUGCUCGAUUCACUGGAAACCACUGCAGCUAAACAAGGGUCUCGUUCCAAGCAUGAGGUGGAAGUGGUCACUGGAAGCCCUGGAAGAGGCAACUGUCUACCACGAUGAUCAAAUGUCGUAUAUGCGACGAUUAAUGAGCAACUGGAGGAUCUCGAAACGGUAAAAGUCGGGCUGGACAAGGACAAACACACCCUAGAAACCGAAAAUGCUGAUUUGGCCAACGUGAACCAAUCCCGACCGGAAAACGACCGACGUCGGAGCACGAAUUUCUGAACGGCAGGUGAAACUGGCUGAAAUGGAACGGGCUCAGGCUUCGGCUGCUAUCAAGAGUGCAGUAAAAUGUAAAGCCAGCUGCCGGAAGCACAAUAACGUUUGGAGGAAGAAACUUGCCAGAAGUUAGCCCUCAGCUCGAAGCUUAGCCAGUUGGAAAGGAAAAAGUUCUUCACUCCAGAAGUACCUGGAAGAGGAGGCCCCAGCUGAAGGAUUCAAAUUGGAAGCGAAAGAUCCUGGAGCUGUUUAAAAAUGUCAAAAGUACCGAAUGCGAUAUGCAUUUUCAAGCAUAGGUUGUAUAGUUUAAAAUUUCGAGCUCUGAAUAUUUUGUUGCUGUCAAUUCAAAUAUGUGGUCAUGGAAAGACGAAAGAUACAAACAAGUUUUAGAAAUCAAGAUUCAUACACACUUUUUGAAAUCAAAGGAAACACAAAACCAAUUUAUUAAUAACCUUCUAAAAUGUGAAAAAGAUUGAGUAUAGAUGUUUGUAAAUUUAUUUUGAAAUUAAAACAAAAUAUUAAGAUUAGGUUUUUUAACAUUUUAGUAGGAAUUUUUUCCGAAAACGACUUACCAUUUGCGAAACUAAUUUGUCAGAUAUAGUCUAUCACCUCUAGUUUGUGUGAUAUAAGAAAAGGAUUCUGAAAAACUUCAUUAUGCUACAGUUCAUUUUGCCUACAGAUAUUUUAAUUCAAUUCAGAAAAUAGAAUAAAUUCUACAGUUUUGAAAAAAAAAAAACGAAAGAUAUCAUUACAGGUAUAUCUGUCAUAACUAAUGGAAGCAAAAAAAAGAUUUAUUUGAAUGAACAAAUUCGCCCGCAAAA
Uranotaenia lowii is the source of this 2221-nucleotide long non-coding RNA. RefSeq lists it as uncharacterized. The record is from RefSeq and is a predicted model, not a curated record. NCBI's taxonomy places the organism in Eukaryota, Metazoa, Arthropoda, Insecta, Diptera, Culicidae. The transcript is spliced from 3 exons.